Molecule: ribosomal RNA, 253 nt
Filed under: uncultured bacterium
Lineage: Bacteria
Description: partial 16S ribosomal RNA
Rfam family: Bacterial small subunit ribosomal RNA
Source: RNAcentral
UACGUAGGCAGCGAGCGUUGUUCGGAAUUACUGGGCGUAAAGAGUGUGUAGGCGGUGCUCCCAGUCUGUUGUGAAAUCUCCCGGCUUAACUGGGAGGGUGCAGCGGAAACUAGAGUACUAGAGGGUGGGAGAGGUAAGCGGAAUUCCUGGUGUAGCGGUGAAAUGCGUAGAUAUCAGGAGGAACACCUGUGGUGUAGACAGCUUACUGGACCACUUCUGACGCUGAGACACGAAAGCGUGGGUAGCAAACAGG